RNAcentral lists this ribosomal RNA (448 nucleotides) under uncultured bacterium. RNAcentral describes it as "bacterial SSU rRNA". It matches the Rfam family "Bacterial small subunit ribosomal RNA", at positions 330 to 794 of the family's 1533-position model. The record is from RNAcentral.
GCCAGACUCCUACGGGAGGCAGCAGUGGGGGAUAUUGCACAAUGGGGGGAACCCUGAUGCAGCGACGCCGCGUGGGUGAAGGAGCGUUUCGGCGCGUAAAGCCCUAUCGGCAGGGAAGAAGGAGGACGGUACCUGACUAAGAAGCCCCGGCUAACUACGUGCCAGCAGCCGCGGUAAUACGUAGGGGGCAAGCGUUAUCCGGAUUUACUGGGUGUAAAGGGGGCGCAGACGGCAGCGCAAGCCAGGAGUGAAAGCCCGGGGCCCAACCCCGGGACUGCUCUUGGAACUGCGCGGCUGGAGUGCAGGAGGGGCAGGCGGAAUUCCUGGUGUAGCGGUGAAAUGCGUAGAUAUCAGGAGGAACACCGGUGGCGAAGGCGGCCUGCUGGACUGCGACUGACGUUGAGGCCCGAAAGCGUGGGGAGCAAACAGGAUUAGAUACCCCCGUACU